This 478-nucleotide ribosomal RNA is filed under the name uncultured bacterium. RNAcentral's name for it is "partial 16S ribosomal RNA". It matches the Rfam family "Bacterial small subunit ribosomal RNA", at positions 28 to 523 of the family's 1533-position model. The record is from RNAcentral.
GACGAACGCUGGCGGCGUGCUUAACACAUGCAAGUCGAACGGUAAGGCCCUUCGGGGUACACGAGUGGCGAACGGGUGAGUAACACGUGGGUGAUUUGCCCUGCACUUCGGGAUAAGCCUGGGAAACUGGGUCUAAUACCGGAUAGGACUCCUGGCUUCAUGGUUGGGGGUGGAAAGCUUUUGUGGUGUGGGAUGGGCCCGCGGCCUAUCAGCUUGUUGGUGGGGUAAUGGCCUACCAAGGCGACGACGGGUAGCCGGCCUGAGAGGGUGACCGGUCACACUGGGACUGAGAUACGGCCCAGACUCCUACGGGAGGCAGCAGUGGGGAAUAUUGCACAAUGGGCGCAAGCCUGAUGCAGCGACGCCGCGUGAGGGAUGACGGCCUUCGGGUUGUAAACCUCUUUCAGCUAUGACGAAGCGCAAGUGACGGUAGUAGCAGAAGAAGGACCGGCCAACUACGUGCCAGCCGCCGCGGUAA